Molecule: transfer RNA, 66 nt
Filed under: bovine gut metagenome
Rfam family: tRNA
About the family: Transfer RNA (tRNA) molecules are approximately 80 nucleotides in length. Their secondary structure includes four short double-helical elements and three loops (D, anti-codon, and T loops).
Source: RNAcentral
GGUGUAGCGCAGUUGGUAGCGCGCUUGGUUUGGGACCAAGAUGCCGCAGGUUCGAAUCCUGUCACU